UUGCGCUCCCAAUGGGAAAUGGAUUUCUUUGGUUUUUAACCCCUGUGCGUUAGCAUCAAGGAUCAUCAACUUUCAGUUAUCCGAUUUUGAAUGGAUUCAAGUCCAUCGCCUUAACCACUCGGCCAUAGCUGCGCUCAGAUGGUUUUUCCGUAAUUUUUUUUUAUUAUCUCCCAACAGCUUUGGCG
Long non-coding RNA from Dermatophagoides pteronyssinus (European house dust mite), 185 nucleotides. Lineage: Eukaryota; Metazoa; Arthropoda; Arachnida; Sarcoptiformes; Pyroglyphidae. The record is from RefSeq and is a predicted model, not a curated record.